Lotus japonicus is the source of this 2836-nucleotide long non-coding RNA. RefSeq lists it as uncharacterized. Lineage: Eukaryota; Viridiplantae; Streptophyta; Magnoliopsida; Fabales; Fabaceae. The record is from RefSeq and is a predicted model, not a curated record. The transcript is spliced from 2 exons.
CCAAUGGAAGCCAAAGCGUAAGAAAGAAGAAAAUUCUUCUAUCCCUCUUAACACUAAACUUAAUGAUUGUGUUUUAGCUCUUGAGGUUGCAUGCAAAAAUCUAACUAAGGUGUGUACUCAAGUGAAAGAUCCCGAAAGUGCAAUGCACUAUGGGAUAAACCCUGGAUGACAUUCUGAGUCCAGUGGAGUCUAGCAAAGACUAUAAAAUUGCGCUUCUUGGGAGACAAUCCAAGGGAUAGUUUUAGUUUUAUUUCUUUAGUUUUAAUUUGAUUUUUGUUUUUGCUUUCUUAGUUCUAAUGAUUUUUCUGCCUUUGUUUCUGUUUUGUCAUGUUAGUAUUAAAAAAAAAAAUAGAUGAGAAAACUGCCAGUCAAGGUUACUGGAAAUUGCAGCAUGGUAGCGCCAUCAUGCGAGCAGCACAACGCUUCUGAAAUUUUUGGCUUGAAAACGGUGCAAUUUCUUUGGAAAAAUGGUGCCAUAGCAUCAAUCUCAAAUUUUUAAAAAUCAAUCUCAAAACACUACGAAGAUAAGAGGUUUGUUUUCCUAAAAAGAAAAAAAAAAAAACAGAAUCUUAUCAUACUUGUAUCUGAUCCAACGUUGAAAUUUAAAAAGAACUAUCUCCUUCCUUUGUUUUUCACGUAUUCUGCUUGCCCUUAUUAUGAAGUUUUCCUCUUCUCCCCUCACGCGAUUCUCUCUAGCCCUCAAGAUGGCAAACCCUUUUGGUGAUCUUGAGCAGAAAAUUCUGAAGCUCACAGUAGCAGAGCGGCUGGAGAGGAGAGUGAUGAUGAUGAGCCUCAGAGCUCAGAUUGAGGGAGCUCUCCCUUUUAUAUUCUAACUGUUUUAUUUUUCGUUCAGUUAGAGUUUUCUUAGUUCUAUUUCUUAUUUCAUUACGUUUUACAUGAUAGUUAGUUUGUGUUUUGUGGAGUCAGUUUACCCUUAUAUGCUUGUGUUGAGCACCAUAUUACUUACGUAUCUUAAGCGGUUUCACCCUAAAUUUAGAUGCUUGUUUUGUUUGUGAAAAUUACUGAAAAUAUGUUGUUUGAGGUGAUUCACAUGUGGGGAAGUGUUUGUGUUAAGAGAAUGAGAGCUGGGAAGCUUUGGGAACCUGAGUUAAGUUGUUUGAAAACACUGUUUUGAGUUCUGAUUAUGGGUACACUUACCCUUAUAUUUCUGAGUGCUGAGUGAAUAAUUCUGACAUACUUGUACCUGCUUGAACCUGUCUUGAUUUGCAUCUUGGUUGAAUAUGUGCAGUUUUGUAAUUCAGAGAGAGACUUUUAGGAAUUUUUUUUUGUUAGCCUUCAGAUUUUGCUUUCAUGUUUCCCUUAUCGGUCCCUUUGAGCCUUAAUUAUUAUUUCUUUGGUGCCUAGCUUUGGUGAUUUGUUUGGUUGUUAAGUGAUCUUAGUUACUUAAAAAUUGUAGGCUUCUCUUCUUUCUAAAAAAAAAAGUACAAAGAAAAAAAAAUGAAAAAUUUGAGGUAUGUGCCUUGGAACAAAGGAAAGAAAAAGAUAAAAUAAGUGAGUAAGGUUAUGGGGGCGGUCAUCCCACUUUCUAUAUUCCUCAAUCACUUCAUUGCUUUGUUACAAAUGAAAAAAAAGAAUUAAGAGAGAGCCUAAAUGUGUUGAAUUAAUUGCUCGUGUGCUUCAUGAAAAAAGAUCACUUAACUAAAAUUGGGUAGCCAUUUGAGUUGUCAAUUCUUUCAAUUCCGUACCUACAUUGCACCCUUGGCCACGUUACAACCUUAUGAGGUCUCUCCUAAUUGCUUUGCUGUCUUAUUUGAUUUUGAGUUGAAAGAUAGCCAGGUUUGAUGCACUGUACUUGUUUGUUCAUGAGCUGAGAUGUGUGAGCUUAUUUGUAUGGACUCUUAACUCUGUUUUUCUGCUGCUUGUAAUUCUCACUUACUGAAGUUUAUUCACUUUCUUAUCUAAACACUUGCAUGAACUACUGUAAUGAACCCUAGGUUUUUAGACUGAAAAUUUGGCAUCUGAGUUAGGGGUGAUUAGUUAUGUGCUUGAGGACAAACUAAUUGAGUUUACGCUUGAGGACAAACUUUCGUUUAGUAUAGUGGUGUGUUGACCCGGGGAUAUAAGGGUAUUUUUGUGGGUCUUUUAUUUUAUUUUAAAUUUAUUUUCUGAGUUUUAAUUAGUUUUUAUGAUAGUUUUAAGUAAUUUUCGUAUUUUUAAUUAUUUUAGGAUUUUAGGAUUUUUUAUUAUGAUUUAGUAGAUUUUAGUAGUUUUUAUCUUAUCAUUAACUAGCACUUUUUAAAUUAUAGAUUUAGUUAGGAUUUAAGUUGUUUAUUUUUGGAUUAUUAUCUUUUUAGUAUUUAAAUUUUGAUUUAUCUUGUUAUUUUAUUUAGGAUUUUCGAAAUAAAAAGAAAAGAGAAAAUCAGAAAAGAGAUCUGAUCCGGAGCUGCUGGUCCACGGAGCUGCCAUGCAUCCGCAGGAGAUCAAGGGGCUGUUGCUUUGUCCCCCGCCUUGUGGUACUGUCCUGGAAGAUGUUCAUUGUAAUAUGGUGGUUCGAGGAGCACUGGAUUGCACUCUAUUUAAAGUAUGGGCCAAUGAGCUUCUGACACGAGGAAGAAGUAAAGGACAAAGUUUUGUCUUAUUUGAUAAAGUAGCAGCACGUGAUUGGAACGAAAAAAAAAGUAGGAAAACAGAACUUGAUUUGAGAAGGAUUUUAUUAUUAUUAUAAUAGAUAAUAUAUAUAUAUAUAUAAAUAAAGUUGCAGAAAAAUAAAAGAUUGAAUCCAACAACUAACUAUUGGGUUUUGUAUCACUCAUGUUUUCCCUGUAAAAAUUCUCUGGUUAGAAAAUCUGGAAGGGAGUUACUGUCUCCUUUAAUA